GAUGAAGAACGCAGCGAAAUGCGAUAAGUAGUGUGAAUUGCAGAAUUCAGUGAAUCAUCGAAUCUUUGAACGCACAUUGCGCUUCCUGGUAUUCCGGGGAGCAUGCCCGUUUCAGAAUCAUUAAAAAUCUCACAAAGCUAGGUGCUUUCGGGCAUUUGGUGAAUGUGGAUUUGGAUUUUGCGUUAGCAAUCAUCUUAAAAUGAUUGUAUGUGCACCAAAUGAUGUUUUGGUUGUUAUAAGUGCAACAGAUUUAUCUAUUACGCUUUUGGCAAUUGAAUUCAUUGUUGGGAGCGCGUACUCAAACCAUUACACAGCGGACGCAUCGGAUGAGGCGACCGCUGAUAACUUGGUCUGAAAUCGGGCAAGAAAACCCGCUGAACUUAAGCAUAUCAAUAAGCGGAGGA
RNAcentral lists this unclassified non-coding RNA (404 nucleotides) under soil metagenome. RNAcentral's name for it is "partial contains 5.8S ribosomal RNA, internal transcribed spacer 2, and large subunit ribosomal RNA". The stretch from base 1 to 120 matches the Rfam family "5.8S ribosomal RNA", at positions 35 to 154 of the family's 154-position model. The record is from RNAcentral.